UAAGGAAUAUUGGUCAAUGGACGGAAGUCUGAACCAGCCAUGCCGCGUGCAGGAGGACGGCCCUAUGGGUUGUAAACUGCUUUUGUACGGGAACAAACGUCGGUACGAGUACCGGUCUGAGUGUACCGUAAGAAUAAGGAUCGGCUAACUCCGUGCCAGCAGCCGCGGUAAUACGGAGGAUCCGAGCGUUAUCCGGAAUUAUUGGGUUUAAAGGGUGCGUAGGCGGCCGAAUAAGUCAGGGGUGAAAGGCGUCAGCUCAACUGUCGCAGUGCCUUUGAUACUGUUUGGCUUGAAUGUGGUUGAAGAUGGCGGAAUGAGACAAGUAGCGGUGAAAUGCAUAGAUAUGUCUCAGAACACCGAUUGCGAAGGCAGCUAUCUAAGCCGUUAUUGACGCUGAUGCACGAAAGCGUGGGGAGCAAACAGGAUUAGAUACCC
RNAcentral lists this ribosomal RNA (435 nucleotides) under uncultured bacterium. RNAcentral's name for it is "bacterial SSU rRNA". It matches the Rfam family "Bacterial small subunit ribosomal RNA", at positions 355 to 787 of the family's 1533-position model. The record is from RNAcentral.